Molecule: ribosomal RNA, 469 nt
Filed under: uncultured bacterium
Lineage: Bacteria
Description: partial 16S ribosomal RNA
Rfam family: Bacterial small subunit ribosomal RNA
Source: RNAcentral
GACGAACGCUGGCGGCGUGCUUAACACAUGCAAGUCGAACGGAAAGGCCCUGCUUUUGUGGGGUGCUCGAGUGGCGAACGGAUGAGUAACACGUGAGUAACCUGCCCUUGACUUUGGGAUAACUUCAGGAAACUGGGGCUAAUACCGGAUAGGAGCUCCUGCUGCAUGGUGGGGGUUGGAAAGUUUCGGCGGUUGGGGAUGGACUCGCGGCUUAUCAGCUUGUUGGUGGGGUAGUGGCUUACCAAGGCUUUGACGGGUAGCCGGCCUGAGAGGGUGACCGGCCACAUUGGGACUGAGAUACGGCCCAGACUCCUACGGGAGGCAGCAGUGGGGAAUAUUGCACAAUGGGCGGAAGCCUGAUGCAGCAACGCCGCGUGCGGGAUGACGGCCUUCGGGUUGUAAACCGCUUUCAGCAGGGGCGAAGCUUGUGGUGACGGUACCUGCAGAAGAAGCACCGGCUAACUACGUG